GCCCGGCCCCCGGGGGCCUCGUCUCGUGGGCUGGGUGCGCAGGUCAGCCUGGAGCACCCGCAGAGACUUGGGGUAUCGACGCAAAGCCUCCCUCUCCCCAAAGCCCUGGCGGCUUUCCUGCUCAGCAUCGUGGACGCGGCGCCAGCCAGCAGGUGCGGGAUGGGGGCGGGGCCAGAUCACACUGAGCAGCACACCUCCUAUUCUGACAACCGACCCAUCCCAUCCUCCUGGUGAGGAGGAGGAGGCAGCAUCUCCGUCUCCUGAACUCUUUCUUCACUGCAUCCUCGACAACUGCAGAAUGCCUUCUCUCUUAACCUUUCCUCUGGACUUUCUCUUCCCCACCUUUCCCUCAAUCAUGGUUUCUCAGCACUGCUGAUGUUUGGAGCUGGACAAUUCUUUGUUUAUCGUGGGCUGCCGUGUGCAUUGUAGGAUGCUGCGCUGCAUCCCUGGCCUCCACCCAUUAGACGCAGUGGCAUGUCCCCGGCUGUCCCCCGGGGGUGCCAUCAUCCAGCCAAGACCUUCUGCCUUAGGUGGACUCUGUACUUCUGAGCUCCGUCCCAUCCCGCAGUCCACCUGCUUCCCUGAAUGUUUCAGCUCUGAACUUCCUGUCACACUUGCUAACACCCUCCAGGUGGAUGAUCCAGCCUCUCCAGUCCCUGACUCUCUCUCCUCCAGAGCCCGCCACUCCCCAGGCUUUCCCAGUUAACUUUCAGCCCCAACCUGACCGUCAACCAUCUGCCUGCCAUCACCUUUCUCUGGCUCACUUCCUGUGUCUCCGCUGGGGUCUUUUCAGCCCCUCGGCUCAUCCUCCCUCGGGUGAGACUCUGUGGUUACGGUCAGCCUUUCCCACAUCCUCAACACUCUGGUCCCUCCUGCUGUGUUGUACUCACUGGGUUAAAACUCAGAUUAAACCCAGCUGCCCACCUUCUGCAGCUCAGAGUGGUGUGGGAAAGCAAACAGGCGUGCUGCCACUGUGCCUGGAAACACCAGGCUGACCCCCCUAGGGCUGCCUGGACCGCCCCCUCCCCCGUAUCCUCUCACUUUUCACCCUCCCUAAACUUACUGUCUCCACCAUCCUCACUCAGCUAAUGACCUCACCUCCGACUUAACGGGAAGACAGAAACGUUCACUAAGUAUAGACAAGCUCCCACCUCCCUCCAUCCCUGCUCGUUUCGUCUACUUUUCCCCCUAAUUCUGUGCCGAACUGUCCAGCGCCAACUGAGGCCAACCCCUGUUGGGCUCCCCUUCUUGUUUAUUUGAGGAUAUUGCUCUAGAAAUUCUUACCCUCCUCCCUGGCAAAUCUUCUGUCUCACUGAGGCACAUUCUGUCAGCUGAACAAACCUCUAACCCCACUUCUCUGGUGUCUCUUCCCAUGAAGCUGUAGCCCAGUGGUCCGUCCUCAGCCCUGGCCUGACUCGGCAGCACGUGCUGCCGCUCACCGCUUCUCCUCGCUGCCCUUCCCGGGCACUCGUCUGGCUUCCUUCCCACCUUUCUGGCCGCCUACCUUCAUCUCUUCUGCAGGUACCUCGUGUCUCGCAGCCUGACCGCCGUCAGACGGCCCAGGCCACCUUUUUGGUCUCUCUCCAUCCCCACCUCUGCCUGCCCAGGGCGCCGUCUCGGUUCUCUCUUCAUCUCCAUCUCUGCUCAUUCCCUAGGUGAUCUCAGUCGGCCUGGUGGCUUCAGAACCCCAUCUGCGGCUAGUGACGUCCAAGUUUCUGUCGCCAGCCCAGACCUCUUGGAAUCCUGGGAUCCCAGACCUGUUUGACACUCCCACUCAGUGCCUAACAGGCCACACCCAGCCUGAGCCCUGACUGAGCCCCUGCACCCCAAGACCAGCCCCUCUCACAGCCCACCCCAGCUCCAAGCUGCCACUAACCUGAGCCACAAGCCUGGUGGUCAUUAUUUUUCUCUCUUCCUUACACCUUGUAUCCAAUCUGCUGGGAAAUCUGGCCAACUUUCCCUUAAAAAAUGCUGUACCCCCAGAAUCCACUUCUUGCCACCCUGGUCCCACCUGCCCUCUCCUCCCGAUUAGACAGCUUUCUCAGCCGCCUCCUGGACCUCUCUGCUCCCAUGCUGACCCCCUUAUAGUCUGUGCUCAAUGGAAAUGAAGUUGGAGCGUGUCCCUCCUUCAUUUGGGUCCUUCCAUUGACUCCCGUCCCACUCAGACCAAAGCAACAUCUUCACAAUGGUUCAGCUAGGCCCUACGUGAACUCUGCCCCCUGUCCCCUAACUUACCACUCCACCUCCACCUUGUCCUACACCGCCCCAGGGCCUUUGCACUAGCUGCUCUCCCUGCCCGGACUGUUCUUCCCCCAGCUCCCUGCACAGCUGGCUCCCUCCUUCCCUUCCUUCAGGUGUGUACUCAUCCAUGUUACUAGAAUUUCCCUACCUGUCUGUAAUUUCCAACUUUACUCCCUCCAGCUCUCCUCUCUCUUCCUCCCGUCAUCAUAUAACUUGCUAUUUAUUUUAUUUAUCUCGUUUACAGUCUGUCCUCAGUCUAGGCCUGCAAGCCCAUGAGCACAGAGGUUUUGUCUGCUUAUUCACCCCCAGGGUCUAGGAUAGUGCUGGGUACAGAGUCAACCUUCAGUCAUGGAGUCAGAGAUGACGUUUCUCCAACCUCAUUCUCAUCCCACCGUUGCCACUUUGCCUUAGUCUCUUACCACUUACACUUAUGUUGACUUGAUGUUUCCUUUGAAGUUAACUGUGUGAAUCAUACAUGUAUCUACUUACAAGUGAUACUUACCACCCCCUGUAUUGUUACACCAGUGUCAUUUGCAUCGACAGGUCACAAUGAAAUUAAACCAGUGAAAACAAAGCAACAGUGAGUUCUAGCUAUUGUGGCCACAGAUUGAUGAAUGUGACCUGAAGGCCUACUUCUCAGUUAAAAAGGACAUGACGGAAGACAUUAGCACCAAAUAGACAUUCUUCGACAUAAUCAGAUGUCUUUAAGAGUUGAAAAGGGAAUGCCUUUCUCACUGUGCAAUUCAGUUACUCAUGGUGUGCCCAGGAACCCUCUGAAAUCACCUGGAGUCUUGACUCCAGACUGAGAACCACUGCACGGGACAAGGGGAAAGCCCAAAGCCCUUUUGAAAGGGGGAAGAGAGCAGCUGAUUCAGGGGACAGGGAUUAGGGAAGGAGCCCCCUGACUAUGCAAGGUAUGCAGAGUGAGAGGACACCAUUUCCGUUCUUAAAAGCAGCUCUGAAGGAUAGAAAUUUGCUUUUUAAUUGAAAGAGAGAGAGAGAGAAAAGAAAAG
Molecule: non-coding RNA, 3254 nt
Organism: Vicugna pacos (alpaca)
Lineage: Eukaryota; Metazoa; Chordata; Mammalia; Artiodactyla; Camelidae
Source: RefSeq, a predicted model, not a curated record